Molecule: long non-coding RNA, 14426 nt
Organism: Mus musculus (house mouse)
Lineage: Eukaryota; Metazoa; Chordata; Mammalia; Rodentia; Muridae
Product: predicted gene, 51806
Exons: 2
Source: RefSeq, a predicted model, not a curated record
AGGCAGGAUCAACACGUUCUUCAUUGUUCUCCCGGCUCCCGGGAGGUGAUCUGGAGGCUGCCUUUUCCAGAGAGCUGUCUUUAGCCCGAGAAAGAAGCCACUAGAAGCAAGAAUUGCUUUUGUUUUUUUCUCCCCUGUUAAUGGGGUGUGUUCUGGGUUGCUGGCAAACACCUCGACUGGGGUCUAUGGCUACAAUAUUGAAACAGUUAAAACAUUGUGAUUUGGAUUUGCUGAGCUAGUGUUCCCUCUAAUAGCAAUGAAAGGAACAUUAAGUAAACAUAUGUCCUAAUUAUGUGAGUGGGUGUGUUUCCCCUACCUUUUGAAUUUUCCCCAUGCUUGUGAUCGGUAGGGUACAAUUACUAAUGAAUAUUCUUAUGUUAUGGAUGCUAAGCUUUAAUAUAUAUUUUAGGCAAACUUGGGGAAACCUGUAGUUAGACUUUAAAAAAAAAACCCAGCAUGGAGGUGAGCUCCAUUUUAAUUAUCGAUUCCUUUGAUGGCGGAUAAAUCUCGGGUCUGCAUUCAGCCCAGCUGCCUGUCAGCCAUAUGUCUCCAGGAUCCAUUCAGUUCAUGGGAUUCAUUCUGCUUUCCACGCGGUUUGAGGUUUUGUCAAAAGAGCGGCAGAGGAUUGCAGCAAACCUGUAGAUUCAUUCUGGGUGUCACGAAUGUGCGUGUCAUCCUAAGAUGUGCCCUGAACUUUUCUGUUCAUUUUGAAAUGGGAAAGAAAGGUGAUUCUCAGAUGCGGGACUGUGAUUUUUUUUUUAACCCACUGUGGCUCAUAAACUGUCUCAGAUUUAAGGUGUGCCACCAGAGGCAAGGCUAGAUACAUCUGGAACAAAGAAAAACAGGUCCCUUGAAACAGGACUGUAGCUCAUGGCUUGUUGAAGGAGGAUGGGUGAUGGGCUCUCUGCGUCUUCAGUUCGAAUUCUUAGAUUUUUAUGCUUUAAUGCCCAGGUCUGAUAUAUCUGCUGAUGUCUCUUUAAAAUGAUUCCUUGCCUCCCAAUGUGAUGUAUGCUCAGCCAGUGGACGCCCAGGGAAUGAUUGGGUAUAGUAGAGAACAUGAAAGAUUGCAACCCUUGCUUGAAUCGAUCAAGCAUUUCAAAAAAUGCUCAUAGCCUACUUACUAUUUAUGAAAAAGGUUCCUCUGAAUAAGACAUACUUUAAUGGAGCUGCUACCAGCAGGCUCAGCUGAGGCAUGUUCGGGGACAUGCCAACAUUCUUGGGCAGCCGUUCAACACCCUACCAAGUGAAGCUGUACAGAUUGGUUUGAAGUCAGCUCUCCCCUCUUGGACCUUGGCUCCACAGGGCUUGACGGUAUCAGAAAAGGUGCGAGUGUGAUUUCCCCAGGGAGCGGGUCGCAGCUGCACAGCACAAAUGAUUUGCUUAAUGCCUAGCCGAGGGGUGGCCUUUCUCAAGGCAAACUGUCAGCUCUGCUCAUGUUUCUGAGCUGAUCCCCUUAAGUGCCUGACAGGCUCCACCACGAUUCUGAACACAGAGUGUCACAGAGAACCCAGGCGGACACAUGAAGCCUGACAGCCCAAUCUAGAUGAAAAUGAACAGCGUCUUGGGGUGGCUGUAAAUCACGUGGACUCUUUGGACCUGAUUCUUUUUUUUUUUUUUCUCCCCCCUUCCCCUUGAAAUUUUUUUUCCGGCAUUAUCUCAUGUCUCCCAUGAGGUGAUUCUGUGUGGUGCAGCGCACAAUGCAUUAGACAGCCAUGAGCCCUUCCCAUUCGAUGCCACAGUGUCCUGCCUGCUGCCUCCAUGUUCUUGACUAAAGCCUCCGUUGCCCCCCCCCCCCCCACUUCUAAAGUCUGUGUUGUGGCUCAGUGGACUCCAAAUUCCAGACCACCAGACUCCAGUCCUUCAAAAUACUGCACCCUUGUGCCAAUGUUUUGUCUUUCAUUCCUGUGAAGGACAGUGGAGUUCUUACCAGCAUCCACCCCCACCCCCAAGCUAAACCAUUUUCUUCUCACACCUAUCUUUGACACCAAGAGAGCCUUUCAGUAUCGAGUGGUUUAGUGUUAUCCCUUGCAUCCUUGAAGGUCAAGUGUCCCAUCCCUUGAUUCACCUUGGUAUGCAGAGAGCAGGCCCUUGGGGAAUGGUCCACCCCCCUCUUCUGCCACUGCAUUCAAGUUAGUGUUAGAGUCCGGUGUUCUUAGGCACAUGGACUCUCUGAUGUUCAUCACAGCCGCUUGGUAUGCAGUUGGCGCUAAAUAAGUAACUUCUCUCUAGGAGUUUAGAAGAGCCACAAAAAAAAAAAAAAAAAAAAACCAAACAGCUCUUCCGUUAGGAAACCUUGUCUCAUAUUUUCCAGCUCAGAGAGAUUAUCUUUCACUAUUGGUUUGAAAGUGAAUCGUCUCUUUAAAUCAGCAAAUAUUUACAUGUUUAAGAGAAUAUGCAUUAAUUUUAAACUAGGUGGUUGAGAAUGAAAUGGAAUAUACUUUAAAAAAAAGAAAAGAAAUUAUGUUUGGCUUUUAAAUCAGAGCUCAGGAGUAGCUCAGGAGGCGUCUGAGUGGCCCAAGUGACCUGCACUGCAGUAGCGGUGGGUGUGGCCACAUGCAACAUCUCAGAUGAGCCGUUCACCCCACCCUCUCUGUGGUGUUGCCCAACCUCCUCCCAAACCCUUUCAGUACUCAAGGAUGCUGUUACAUGGGCCUCCAUUUUAUAUUAAACCCGUCUGUGGAUGAAGUUACAUCUGUGUAUAGAGGGAAGUACAUGGCAAAAUGGCUGUGAAGAUUUUGUGCUGCUGUGGAUGGUGUUCAGCUCAGUCAGCAAGCUUAGGACAUUUGGAUUCACACUGUCUCAUGGAGGUGUUUUUAAUAGCGAGAAGGCAACACCAGUGUAACAGAGCCAAUCAAUUAUUUCCGUUCUCUAAUAAUAAAUUAUCUAAUAAAGACAAUUCCUUUCACUAAUAAUGCCUGUAUUCUGUUGACCUUGAAGAGGGUGUGUGUGUGUGUGCGCGCAUACAUAUGUACUGUUUACCCAAGAUCUUUAUCUCUCCUUCUUCUAGUAAGAGAAGAAGAGUUUACUAAUACCCAGGAGCCCCACGUGCUCAUCUUCUCCUGCUUGUAACUGGGCAAGUCUUGCAGGAAGAACAGUCAGAUAGCAUAGCAAUCAGAGGUUCGAGAAGCAGAAGAAAAGAUCAGUCAGAUAGCAUAGCAAACAGAGGUCGAGAAGCAGAAGAAAAGAUCAGUCAGAUAGCAUAGCAAUCAGAGGUUCGAGAAGCAGAAGAAAAGAUCAUCGACGGGAUCAUAUUUUCUAGAGUGAUUGAAUGACAGCAACUAAGCCAUCUCCAUGGGGGGGAUUUCAGGCUUGCCUGGGAGAGGAAAUGCCCGCCAGGCAAGCAUUCUUUCUGCCUUACUGUAAAAAAAUGCCAGGCUGGUUUGGUUGAACCAAGCCACCACAGGGAGGAUGCACAAAGUGACAUUUCAUGACUGUGCUUUCUGGGUAUUCCUGUAGGCCACUGUGCAGGGUGACGUAAUAAAAGAGCAUCCAUGUAGCAUGGCUUUGAUGAACUUUACCCUCUCAGGGGUCUCUCUGCUGGAAAUCUGAGGCCAGGUGCCAUUCAGUCAACUUCUGAAUCUUUCCAACCUGCAGACUUCUUAGGCUGCUCACUCACCCUCUCCCUAAGGCUAUGUCCCUGGCUAGCCCCCUGUCUUCCUCUAUAAUAAGACCAGCAGUAGUGCUGGUCCACGAUAUCACCUCGUGAUCACAUUUAACUACAGCCAUCUCUUGAGAACUCUAUUUCCACAAUUUGGGUAGUAGAUGGGAUGAAAUUCAGUCCACAACAGCACCCACGUGGAAAUGUUUGAUCAGGGUUCCAGCCUUACUUAGGUCCGUGUCACAGGACACACAAUGGUGAUGAUGUUCUGUCUGUUCACACGUGCUUCACUGAGCAGAUGUGGUCCGGAGUAGAGAUGAGGGCAGGUAUUAUGGGUGCCAAAGACAAGUGGAUACAGGUUGUCUGGAGGCAGAAAGGUGGAGUAGCAAAUUCUAGUUGGGGGAGGAGGUUAGGAAAGGAGAGAUGGGAAAGGAGAAAGGACUAGUCUGGAUAGGUCUUAGGAAAUUGCAUGUUUCCUAAAUGAAUGUGGUAAGAACCUUCCAGAGACAAUGCAAGGCAAGGAAAGGUUUGGAAAGUCCUGGUGUCCUUAGGGAUCUAAGCCUUAGCUUAUGUGUUUGGGAGAAGGAUCCCAGGGAUGGAUUGUGGCCAGGUAUGACAGUGGCAGAAAGGAGAGCACACAUGACUCUUUGUUCGUUUUUGUUUUUAAUGUGGAUUCUUGGGAUGAAACUUAGGCUAUAGUCUAAAAGCAGGGAAACCGUUAUUUUGGUUAGAUACCCCAACCAGGUCUGCACUGUCUAAUCUUUUGUCAACUUGGCACACAAACCAGAGUCAUCCGAACAGAGGGAAUCUCAAUAGAGAAAAUGCCUCCUUAAGAUCCAGCCAUAGGGCAUUUUCUUAAUUAGUGAUCAAAGGGUGAGGGCCCAGCCCAUUGUAGGUGGUGCCAUUCUUGGGCUGGUUGUCUUGAGUCCUAUAAGAAAGCAGGCUGAAUAAGCCAUGGGGAGCAAUCCAAUGAGCAGUGCCCCUCCAUGGCCUCUGCAUCAGCUUCUACUUCCAGGUUCCUGCCCUGUUUGAGUUCCUGCCCUGACUCUUCCUUCAAUGAUGAACAGUGAUAUGAAGUGUAAGCUAAAUAAACCAUUUUUUCCCCAACUUGCUUUUUGGUUGUGGUGUUUUAUCGAAGCAAUAGACACUAACCAAGACAAAGUCUCUCAUUUAGCACAUGGCUCUGUCUCUCUCUCUCUCUCUCUCUUUCUUUCUUUCUUUCUUUUAGAUUUAUUUAUCAUUAUAAAUAAGUACACUGUAGUUGUCUUCAUACACACCAGAAGAGGGUGUCGAAUCUCAUUAUGGAUGGUUGUGAGCCACCAUGUGGUUGCUGGGAUUUGAACUCAGGACCUUUGGAAUAGCAGUCAGUGCUCUUAACCACUGAGCCAUCUCUCCAGCCCAUGGCUCUGUUUAUUGAUAUUCCACAUCUCAUUGGACUUGGGCCAUGCUGUCCACUGUCGGUGACUUAGGAAUGGUUCUUUGAGUGUUUUUUUUUAAAGAUUUAUUUAUUAUAUAUAAGUACACUGUAGCUAUCAUCAAAAACUUUUUCUUCUCUCUCCUGCUCUUCUCUCUCCAGCCCAAAUAUUUAUUUAUUUAUUUAUCUAUUUAUCUAUGUAUUUAUUUAUUAUAUGUAAGUACACUGAGGCUGUCUUCAGACACCCCAGAAGAGGGCAUCAGAUCUCAUUACGGAUGGUUGUGAGCCACCACGUGGUUGCUGGGAUUUGAACUCAGGACCUUCGGAGGAGCAAUCAGUGCUCUUAACCACUUCUCCAGCCCCCAUUUGAGUGUUUUAUUGAUUUCUAUGUCAAAUUAGAGAAAAACAAGUACAUAGUUACAGUUCUGUGAGCUAAUAAAGGCCAUUCCAGUGAGUGGGUUUGUUUUUUAUGGAACUUCAGAACGGGAUUUCUCAUUCUUUUAGUUCAGUUACUUUUCCAUUCUGUGAACACCAUGUAACUUGCUGUAUUUAAGUUUUUUAUGGCUCCCUCUACCCCUUCCCUCACUCUUUAUUUCCCCGAUUGCAACCAGCUGAAUACAUUAUCUGUGAGAGGUAUGUUUCUUUCUUCUCUGAUGAGACCCAACUAUGUGCUCAAAUGCCAAUGCCCUUUUGGAGGAAGGCGGAGAGUGUCCGUGUCAUGAACUUCCCAUGUUGUUAAUGGCGCUAGCAUUAUGGAGUUUCUGCUGCAGGCCUGUGGUCAUGUGUCCGGAAGGCUCUAUGCUGUUUACUGAGAGUAGGGGGACCGCCAUGCCCUGAGCAGUUGCAUUGAACUUUCACUUCCACCCCCCCCUGUGUUGGGGUUUAUUCUCUGUUCCUUGUUGGACGAGUCACCUCUGAAAGGCUUUUGUUUGGUGACAGUGGUGAUUUGAGAAACGGCUUGCUGAGCUCAAUCUGGGGUUCAGUGCUUUUGUUGGACUGCAGGGACCAGGUAUCUAUCAUCAGCUGGAAGAGGUGGUACAUGCGCCGGAAGAGGCGUUCCAUCACCAUUAGAGAAGUUCCAUCUACCGGAAGAGGCAUUCCCUCCACCAGAAGAGAUGUCCCAUCCACGGAAGAAAUGUUCCAUCCACCGGAAGAGACGUUCCAUCCACGGGAAGAAAUGUUCCAUCCAUGGAAGAAGUGUUCCAUCCACGGGAAGAGAUGUUCCAUUUACCGGAAGAACUAUUCAUGGCCCUUCUACUUAGCCAUGUGCACUCCUGACGAUGGUUUUUACUUUUAUUGUUUUAAUUUUUUGUUGUUGUUCACUUCCUAGUAACCUUUGUUCAUCUUACCUUGACAAAUGCCGAUAAUGCCACGGUUAAUAAACACUAAAGAUGAUUCUGUGUCUUACCAGCCCAUAUCCGCGAAGCAGGCAUUUGGACUCCUUUUCUUCCGGUCUUUGAUUUAUGCCCGUAUUGUGUUGAACUUAACAUUUGAGUUUGUUUAUUUUACUUGAUCCUCAUCCCAUGUAAGGUGGGAUGGGGUGGACCCAAUGGGGAAGGGCCCAUGUGCCAAAGCAAUCGUGGGAGGUCAAAGGGCACUUGGUGGGCUUGGUUCUCUCUUUCUACCUUUUUGUAGAUUCUCAGAAUUCAAGUCCGAUUUCCAGACAUCUACAACAAGUGCUUUCACCUAGAGAGCGAUCUUUCUGGGUACAUAGGUAUCUAUGUUCUCUUUGUCUAUAGUUUUUUUUUUUUUUUUUACUUACAGAAUUUUACAAAAUAUUACGUCCUCAGCAUAGUCACUACCUUUUUCAAAAUCCAAAACUGAAGUGAGUGUUUUCCCCCUCUGGAGAUUUUUUCUUAUUAAUUUUAAAAAAGAAAACAGAAGACACUUUGCAUAGGUUAUUUCAUGCAUAGAAGCUUGGGGGAAGAGAAUGUGUAUAGGCUUUAAAGUGCAGCCUGGUGCAGUGCAGGCUCACAGGUGCUUCUCCACAUCUGGAAAAGCCAGAAGGCAGAAAGGAAUUUCUUUUCCUUGAACUUGGUAGCAAAUUCUGACCUGACCUGAACUCAUUUAGUAGCAAAACCCAAUCUGACCUUAUGUGAAGCUAUUUAUAGUCCAUGUUUAUCCUACAUAGUGUGAAUACUUGUGUGUUUUCCUGUGGAAAUAUUUUGCUUAUGCUGCGCUAAGACAUGUCUGGGGACGUGUAUACUAUCUGCAUGUCCUCGCUAAAGAUCUGAAAAGCUCUGUACUCAAGAGCUUGCAAGUGCUUCAGUGAGUGUGUAGUGGAGCUCUAUAGAGCUCUGGACGUGGGACAGGUAACAAACUAGUGUGGUUGUUUCCUUGGUACAUGCCAACAAAGUUGUACUCUGGUACCAGACACCAUGUCAGAGGGCCAUGAAGCAACUGAAUUCACUCUUAUAGGAACUUUUAUUUUUGCCCCUGCAAAUGUUCUAAUAGACUGUUUUUUGCUUGAUAAUAAGUCUGAACAUUUGGAUGGGUCAGUUGUGAAGAUGAUAUUAUAAAGUUUGGCCUUUUCAUGAUAAUAAAAUGCUAAUAGUAAGAAAAAUUAUCCUAAGUACCAUUCUGAGUUUCUUUCUUUUUUUUUUAUUUGAAAAUAUUGGUGUGUGUGUGUCUGUGUGUGUCUAUGUCUGUGUGCACGAAUACGUGCCCACACAUAUUUUUUUUCCUGGUGCAUGUGUCGCACAGCAUGCACAUGUGGAGGUCAGAGGGUAGCCUUUGAGAGUUGGCUUUCUCCUCUAGCUCCUUUUGAAGUAGGGUCUCUCUUGUUUCUGCCAGUUCAUGGACUCCAGGCUGGCCCACGACCUUCUGGAUGAUUCUCCUGUCCCUGUCUCCGAUCUUCCUAUAGCAGUGCUUGAUUAUAGAUGUCUGCCUCCUCUUUGGUGUUUCCGUGAGCUCUGGGGCCCCCAUCUCAGGCCAUCAGACUUGAGCAGCAAUUGUUUGUAGACACUGAGCCAUCUUGCCGGCCAAGGUUUUGAGAUUUCUCACAAUUUUUUUUUUAUUCAUUGCCAUUUCUUGAGGUCAUCCUACAUAACUUGAUACAUAUUUCCUGAAAGAAAAGAUGCAGACUUUCAGAGGAAGUUACUGUUUGACUGAAUCAUUGGACAUAAUUGCCAAAAAAUAAUGUUAAUCAAUUGCAGGUUAAUUAAUUUCCCAUAAUUACUAUACAUAAUGGCAUUUUCUGUUAUGGUUUAGAUGAAGUUUCCUGUUUUUCACACAACUUGAUUUUUUUUUUCUAGUUUUUAUUCUGUGUUUCUUGGUAUGAGACAUCAGUGAGGAGGUGACAUUCUGUGGCUCUGUUAAGGACGCCACAUCUGCAAGUUUCAUUCCAUUCCUUGUUUCUCUAUUAAUUUGCCAAUGCAGCCAUUGAAACCCAGGGGGACCUCCCAUUUCGGAGGAAUAACAUGAACAAGGCACACUGCUGUAAGUUGCGUUCAUUAUGUCUUGACAGAUGCCAAUGGACAGGGCCACCUUAGUGGUAUUCUAAGGGAAAGCAAAACUCUGAGUCAUCAAUGACCUUUAAGCACAAGAGGCGAAUCUAACAUGAAGCUCAGAACGUAUGUGAACAGGCUCCUGUGGUGGACAGCUCUGUGCUUUACUUUCAGCUGGCUUGUCUUAACUCAGACACCCGAAAGCUGUUUGUGUGCUGUUUCCACUGUGCAGGUCUUAAAUAAGGUCUCACAGUGAGAAGCUCUUUGGUAGACCUAGUGUAUUGUUUGGUUCGCCUUUGUGCUAACCACUCUCAACAAUUAUUCUUCAAGUAAAUUACUAUGCUAGGUAUAAGGAACACAUAGUGGGAACGACAGGAAAUGAACAUACAAAUUAGACAACUAGUGAUAAGCCAAUUUACAAAGAUGAGGGCCUGGGGAAAUGGCUCAUUGGUGAAAUGUUGGUAGCACAACCAAGAGGACCUAAAUUGGAUGACUAGAACCUAUUUAACAACCUGGAUGUGGUUUUUAUGGCUAUAAUUUCAUCACGGGGAAAGGGUGACAGCUGGGUCCCAGGUUUUGCUAGCCAGCCUUUCUGGCCAUUGAGAGACCCUCUUUUUACAAAAAAAAGAGGUGUGUGUAGAUAACACCCAAGGAGUAACAUCCAAGGUUGACCUCUGACCGACACAUACACAGUCCAUCACAUGCAUGCACACACAUAUACAUACCUGUACACACAUGAUCACAUGUACACCUAUACACAUGAACAUACACAGAAGACAGCAUCAACUGCUAAAAAGGGAACAAGAUUGGCGCUCACAGAAGGGACAACUUAGUUCGUUGGUGUAGCUUAAGAAAGACCUAAUUGAGAAGGUGCCCUUGAAUGGUUGCAUGAGCCCCAUCACCAGAGGAAGUUGGCCACUUGUCAACAGAUGACAUGUCAAGAGGAAGGGAGUGCUUGAAAAGACUAUGAUAUUUGGAGGAAGGAUAGCACUCAACCUCCGUGACUCUCCCUGUUGGCGAGAACCUGAGGAUUUCUUCCUACCGUGAAAAAAUUAAUUUCUUCCUCUUGGGGUUUAAGCGGGAUCAUCAGGAUUUGGAAGGCAAAGCCAACUAUUUCCAGGCGUCAGUUGGGGAUACCUGACACCUGAGUAGGAGAGCGUCCCAUGAGCUUCUGAUGGAUGCUUGGAUGGCGGUCCUUUACCUUGGUGCUUUGCGUCCUUCUUUUCUACUCACUGUUCGCCACCAUAGGCCAAGUGCAGCAGGGACUUCCCUGCAGAAACUCAUAGUCCUCAGGCCUCCACUUCGCAAUUAAUUUGCUCUUGGAGUGGAGUCUACUCAGUAAAACCAAAACGAAAAUAAGUACACACACCAGAAACUGAGACCCUGCGAUGAUGCUUAUUCAUGGUUGCUUUCUCAAAGGGUGGAUAUAUAGCUUCUGGAAUUUUCACUGCUAUAGGUCAUGAGUGUCCCUGCUCAGGGCAUCUUUGUCAUAUUUAACACAAGCAUUUUGCUUGUGUUUAAUGAAAAGUUAAGCAGUUGAAGCAAACCAAAGUGAUGCUUUGAGGAGAAGCUUGGAUUCUGUGUCAUUUGCCUGAGAGUGUUGCCUAAUCCCCGCUCCCUUAUUUGCAUAAUGCAAAUUUCUUUAUUCUUUGUGCGCAGUGAUUUCAGCACUAAAUAAUUGGCAUUUUACAAAGUGGAAAGCUCUCUGGGCUCUUACCAUUUUCUUUUGGCCACUCCUCUUUCCUGUAAAGAGGGCAGCAAAAACAUGGGCAUUGAGCCAUGGUCAUCUUAAUAUUUGUGGGAGAGAUUUUGUGUGUAAUUACAGGUAGGUAAGUGAACCCAAUAAGUGCAUCCAAAUCAAUAUUUCCCAACAGCAUCAAGGUUUUUUUCUAAAAAGCAAAAGCUCUGCAGCUCUUACUUCCCAGUUCCUAUGCUACUUCUUUUCAAAGAUGUUGAUUAGAAAUGAAACGGAUCGCCUCUUGCUACCAGUUGGAUUAUGUCUCUCAAUCUGCUGUUUGUCACUAACGGGGAGGCGGAGGAAACAGCUUGGCUACAGAUAUUUGAAGUUCCCUGUUCUGACCCACUGAGCAAAGCUCAUAUCUACAACUGUUCUCUGUGUCAUUAAGUUAGAAAAAAAUUAAACAACGUUUAUGGAGCUAGAAGAGCAGUACCAAGUUUUAGGACUCCAGCCAUCGGGAAGUCUUGAGAAAGGUGACUGUUGUUAACUCCAGGCAUGUCAAUGCGUUUUAAAUACACUGGCAUCCUUCAUUAGCGCACCAGUCCUUAACUGAGAAAUUGUCACUGUUAACAGAAUCUGCCUGUUUUAGGGUAUCUCUUGAACACAGCUGGGAGUAUAGUGUCGUCUACGUCAUUGGUGUGAGAACUACAGAAUGUUAAUCUUAGUUGUUUAGUCUCUGACAGAUUUCUACUCACUAGGCCACCUGAUGACAAAGCUUUUGAUUUCAGAUAUCCUAUGUAAGUGGCUUAUAGGCUUAUUUAGGAAUUUUUCUUGUUUGUUUGUUUGUUUGUUUUUGGAAAACAGAUGCACUGUAAUGAUUAUAUUUAUCUGCCACCUUUGAAGCUCUUCACCUUCAAGGUGAAGACUCAUCGGAACGUCUGUGAAGCAGAGGUUGUGCUGAGAGCCCAUCGUCUCUGAAUGUUGUGCUAGAAGGAGCAGAGGAUAGACUCACACGCCCGAGCUUUAAUUCUUAAGUCUCCAGGUCGUCACUGUUCAAGGACAGUCACAUUACAGGAAUUUUCCAAGCCUGUGUGUCUGUGAAAUGGAGUUACUUCCCUUCCCGCCCCGGGCAGGGGGUGGGGGGGGGGGUGGGCGGUUAAUGGCAAACUUCUCCCUUAGUUCUCAGGUAGAAGUAGGCAGCGCAAAGGGUAGAUCUUGGCAUCACUGUUAGAAGUAUGUCUAGAAGGAAUGGAGGCUACACUUUUAACUUCUCAUCCCAAAUGAGACCCUUUUGUUUAUUCAUUGAGCCUUUCUACCAUUUUCUCCUUCUCAUGAGCAUGUGUGUGAUGUGUCUGUCUGCAUGCAUGUUUUUCUCUGUGAAGUCCUGAGGUUGGCAACAGGGGGCUUCCUGAAUGGCUUUUCUACUGUAUUCUUUGAGGCAGGGCUUCUCAAUCAAACCCAGAGCUCAAAGAUAUGGCUAGCUUCCCUAGUUGGCUUGCUAGCGGAUUCCCUGCCUCUGCCUUUUGAGGCUAAAAUUACAGGCAGGCUACUACUCAGCUUUUGUUUGAGUUCUACUGAUCUGAACUCUGGCUCACUUGUUUGUACAGCAUGCUUUAAGUCCUGAGCCAGCUUCUCAGCCCCCCUUUCCACUUUAAUAAGCUCCCCAUCUUGUUUUCUCUAUAAAUCAGAAUGGCUUGUUCUACUAUGGUAACAUAAAUUUGCUCCAUUGGCUUCUUUCCUCCUUUAUAAGAAAAUCAGAAGCCGGGCAGUAGUGGUGCACGCCUUUAAUCCCAGCACUUGGGAGGCAGAGGCAGGUGGAUUUCUGAGUUCCAGGCCAGUCUGGUUUACAGAGUGAGUUCUAGGACAGCCAGGGCUACACAGAGAAACCCUGUCUCGAAAAACAAAACAACAACAACAACAAAAAAACCAUACCAAAACAAAACAAAUCAGAAAUUUAUCUUCCAAUCUCUUUAAAAAAAAACUUUUUAAAUUGUUUUAGAAAGCUGUGUAUUUACAGUUAUCUCGAGAGAAAAAUCUGAUGUGGGGACACAUUUCUAAGACAUCAAGUUGUAUAAUCAUCAAAAUUGGCAGAGAGAGUAUUAGAUAUUUGCAUGGCAUUGACUUUUGGUCAUAUGUGUCUGAUUUAGAAUAAUUGGUAAAUUAGUCCUAGAUGUGAAUUUUACACUUCAGUGUUGAAUAAUGAAGACUUUGGCCUUCUGUCUUCAUACUGUAUUUAACUAGUCAGAAGGAAGGAUACAAGGCAAGAUGUGCUCAGAUCUUGGGUUUCACGCCUGCUCAGGAAUCUCCGCACAGAGAGGGAGGGCGGUGGAACCUGAGAUGAAAAUCAGUCGCUGGGUAAUUCCCCACUGCCCUUUCUUUAUUUACAAAUCGUGUGACCCUCUGCCAACCCCAGGAGCACCUGGCACAUGUGGGGGUGCCUAUUUCAAACUGUUAAAGGAGGUACUAUUACUUUGUCACCAUUCGGGGACUAUAAGUUAAGGUCUGAGAAAACUGAACAGUUCUUAUUGAAUUUAGAUGGCAUUGGACAGAAACCUCACUUUCUAACACCUCACAUGUAAGUUCACUGGAUCCUCCUGCCCCUUGCGAUUUUUAGAGACAAUUUUCUUCCAAAGAGAUUGAGAAAAGUAGGGCAAUUGGUGGGAUUUAAGAUGUUACGAUAAUAGGUGGGAUUUGAGCUGUUAUAGUUACAGUGUAGGUGGGAUUUAAGAUGCCACAGUGUGCUUGUGGAUGGAAGUACUGAAGAAUAUUUCCAUCUCACAUCCCUGGUGUUGUAUUGUCUCUAACAGAGGUGCCAACACAUCUUAGAAGUUGGAUAUUUUUAUCAUCGAGGUGCAAAGAAAACAAGGGAUGUUUGCUAAUCUUUCUACCUUUCAAGAAGAACUUCAGUUACCAUUCUAUGAUUAUAUCUAUGAACAACAGGAAGAAACAUCUUGGAAUUUAAAAAUAUAUGCCCUAAAGUAGUUGUACAAAGAACACCUAAAAGCCACACCUUUAGUCCCAGCACUUGCAACACUUGGGAGGCAGAGGCAGGUGAAUUUUCAGCUUAGGGCUAUACAGAGAAAUCUUGUCUCGAAAAACCAAAAAAAAAAAAAAAAAAAAAAAAAGAAGAAGAAGAAGAAGAAGAAGGAAGAGGAGGAGGAGGAGGAGGAGGAGGAGAAGAAGAAGAAGAACAACAACAACAACAAGAACAAGAAGAAGAAGAAGAGGAAGAAGACCCUAGUUAGUGACGAAAACAGUAGGUCCUGUUAUGGAAGUCCCCGGUAUAAGCUACUUACUGCUAUGACAAAGUUCCUGAGCGCAAAGAUUGACUGAGGGAAGGGCUGGUUCAUCCUGGCUUCUGGUUUUUAAGGGCUAUCAUCCAUCAUUGGGGUGGGAAGUGAUAAGGGACGGGGACAAGAAUGUGCAGAGGUAGAGAUGUGAAUGCUUGUACUUACCCGCUCUCCUGCUCUUGCCCCUAGCUUUGUCUAGUCUGAGCAUCUCUCCCUACAUUUUGAGGUGGGCUUUUCUUCAGUUACACUCUGGUGAUUCUAGGUGCAGGCCAGUUGACCUGAAGGUCAGCCAUCAUAUCCCCUUGGGAAUGAUAUGAGUGUUGUUCAUAUCCAUUCUGACUUUUUUCAUUGUGACAAAUGGCAUAAGAUUCACUGUCUUCACCAUUUUAACCUGAUCGACUUAGGUACCUUCACUUCAACCACAAAGUGUAGCUAUGACUGUCUAGUUAUGGCUACCAUUUUCCCUGACACUUGCCUACAGCAGAGCCCGGUUCCCUUCAUCCCAGGCUCUAGCCACCAGCACUAUGCGUCCUUUCUCCAUAGUGUUACCCUUUCUGGAUAUGUCAUGUGAAUAAAACCAGUCUUGAGUUCAGCUUCUUGCCUUUGGGAUGUUUUGUCCUGGUUAUUUUCUCCUUGUUCAUGUGAGUAACUCUUCACUGUAUCUACUGCAGAAGUAACCUACAUUUCACCCACCUAAUCAUCCAUUGAUGCUAUGUGAGUCCUUUCUUCUUCCUCGCUGUUGUACGUAGAGAAGAAGUGUACAUUGCUGAAUGGGCUUGUUCAGAUGCCUGCCGUCUCUCUCAAAUAAGUAUCCUUUAUGGGAGAUUGCUGGCUGUGUCAUAAUUCUAGUUUCAGGUGCUUGACAGUUGACAAGCUUUUCUUCUCCAGUAGGCUUCUAUAGAGUGCUUUCUGCUAUGUUCGUGGUUUAGUAUCUUAACACUCUUCCAGUCAUUUUACCUUUUUUUUUUUUUUUUUGGAAGUUUGUCAGGUAAAAAAGAAA